RNAcentral lists this ribosomal RNA (253 nucleotides) under uncultured bacterium. RNAcentral's name for it is "partial 16S ribosomal RNA". It matches the Rfam family "Bacterial small subunit ribosomal RNA", at positions 524 to 776 of the family's 1533-position model. The record is from RNAcentral.
GACGAACCGUCCGAACGUUAUUCGGAAUCACUGGGCUUAAAGGGUGCGUAGGCGGCGCGGAAAGUUGGGUGUGAAAUCCCUCGGCUUAACCGAGGAACUGCGCCCAAAACUACCGUGCUUGAGGGAGAUAGAGGUGAGCGGAACUCCUGGUGGAGCGGUGAAAUGCGUAGAUAUCAGGAGGAACACCGGUGGCGAAGGCGGCUCUCUGGUCCACAACUGACGCUGAGGUGCGAAAGCUAGGGGAGCAAACGGG